UGAUGAUGAGUAAUAGCAAUGACUUGUUAAAUAUGGACACGUCCGAUUCAACACCAAGGUUGCAUACAGACUCAAGUUGUUCGGAGCAGGUGCUGUCACCUGAGCUCACUUGCGAGAGGGAGGUUCAGAGCCAGCCAAAAUCAUGGAAUGAUCAGCUAGAUAGUGCAUUUGAUUUCAACUUCAAUUACAUUGAUGAUGGCUUCCAAGACGACCCUUUUGCCUCACAAGUUCAGUUCCAAAUGGACCAGCUCUCACCUCUGCAGGACAUGUUCAUGUAUUUACAGAGGCCGCUUUGAUUUUUUAUCACCAGAAAAAGAAGAAGAAAAAAAGACCUACAUAUUAAUU
Molecule: long non-coding RNA, 345 nt
Filed under: Populus trichocarpa (black cottonwood)
Lineage: Eukaryota; Viridiplantae; Streptophyta; Magnoliopsida; Malpighiales; Salicaceae
Description: long non-coding RNA (PTRI_LNC001437)
Source: RNAcentral